RNAcentral lists this ribosomal RNA (253 nucleotides) under uncultured prokaryote. RNAcentral's name for it is "partial 16S ribosomal RNA". It matches the Rfam family "Bacterial small subunit ribosomal RNA", at positions 525 to 777 of the family's 1533-position model. The record is from RNAcentral.
ACGGGGGGGGCAAGCGUUGUUCGGAAUUACUGGGCGUAAAGGGCUCGUAGGCGGCCAACUAAGUCGGAUGUGAAAUCCCCAGGCUCAACUUGGGAACUGCAUCCGAUACUGGAUGGCUUGAAUCCGGGAGAGGGAUGCGGAAUUCCAGGUGUAGCGGUGAAAUGCGUAGAUAUCGUUUGGAACGCCAAUGGUGAAAACAAGUAGCUGGGGAUGUGCCGACGCUGAGACACGAAAGCCAGGGGAGCGAACGGUA